GCUUGAUGCUUCAAGAGCUAAAUGCUUGGUAAAGAAGAAAGACACAAUUCAGCUUUGAGAGAAGUUUCUGAGUGAAGAUGAAUUUGGCAGAGAUCUGUGACAAUGCCAAAAAGGGAAGAGACUAUGCACUCAUUGGGAAUUAUGACUCUUCUAUGGUGUAUUACCAGGGUGUCAUCCAGCAAAUCCAGAGACAUUGCCAGUCAAUCAGAGAUCCAGCAAUUAAGGGCAAAUGGCAACAGCUUUUGGCUUAUGAAGAUUACUUCAAGUCUCACGUUGUGUGUUAUUUCAACUGCUGCCUGUGCACCAUGGAAUGUAUGUUGUACAUUGGAUACAAGCCUUGAGUAUAAAGGGACCUUUAAUGCUGUUUCCAGGAUUCUUCACCUUACCAGAGAAUCUGAAGUUGGCACCUUCUCAUAAAUUACCUCUUUUAAGUAAAAUCAGAAUUACCCUAACAAUGCCUGUAUACAAUUUAAAAAGCACUAUCCCCAGAAGGAGCAUCAGCAGGUGGGGUACUGUCUGUCAUGCUGUGUGCUCAUGCUAAUUCUGAAACUUCUCAAUACAGUGGUGGUAGCUAAGCUUUGUCAGAAUCUAGCUUUGCCAUUACUUGUGCCAAUCUCUGCUCAGGGACCUAAAAGUAAGAAGUGUGGAAAAAAACCUGUUCUUCAUUCUCAGGCUGUCUUCAUUAUUUAUAGAACUACCUGUGGGCCUGGGAGCAAAUGAUAACCCUGGAAUCCGCAGUUUUUUCACACCUGCACUUCCCUCACUGGGACCUAGAAAAAUUGACCUGCUUUCUAACUCGCUCUUCAUAAAUAAUUGUACUUUCUCAUUCUUUGAGACUGAGUAAGAGGGAAUCUGAUAACCUGGAUGUUAGCACUGCUUUCCGGCUCCAACAGCAACUAGCUCCAAACUGCCAGUGUCAUGCAGUUGCUGUUUGACAGACUGCUUCUCAUGAAAAGUACAAACCCAGAAGUUACAUCACCAGAAACACUUGUGUUGAUGCUGUACGCAUAAAUUCAGGUCUAACCCACUUGGUAGCAGCUAAGUGCAGAAUUAAAAUCAAAAUAGAAUCAUAGAAUCAUAG
RNAcentral lists this long non-coding RNA (1081 nucleotides) under Pavo cristatus (Indian peafowl). RNAcentral's name for it is "lncRNA (ENSPSTG00000004411.1)". The record is from RNAcentral. Lineage: Eukaryota; Metazoa; Chordata; Aves; Galliformes; Phasianidae.